GACGAACGCUGGCGGCGUGCUUAACACAUGCAAGUCGAACGGAAAGGCCCUGCUUUUGUGGGGUGCUCGAGUGGCGAACGGGUGAGUAACACGUGAGUAACCUGCCCUUGACUUUGGGAUAACUUCAGGAAACUGGGGCUAAUACCGGAUAGGAGCUCCUGCUGCAUGGUGGGGGUUGGAAAGUUUCGGCGGUUGGGGAUGGACUCGCGGCUUAUCAGCUUGUUGGUGGGGUAGUGGCUUACCAAGGCUUUGACGGGUAGCCGGCCUGAGAGGGUUACCGGCCACAUUGGGACUGGGAUACGGCCCAGACUCCUACGGGAGGCAGCAGUGGGGAAUAUUGCACAAUGGGCGGAAGCCUGAUGCAGCAACGCCGCGUGCUGGAUGACGGCCUUCGGGUUGUAAACCGCUUUCGCCUGUGACGAAGCGUGAGUGACGGUAAUGUGUAAAGAAGCACCGGCUAACUACGUG
RNAcentral lists this ribosomal RNA (468 nucleotides) under uncultured bacterium. RNAcentral describes it as "partial 16S ribosomal RNA". It matches the Rfam family "Bacterial small subunit ribosomal RNA", at positions 28 to 507 of the family's 1533-position model. The record is from RNAcentral.